ACGAGGACAGCCGGGCACCCGCCUGGGAAGGGCUUCCCGCGCCAGCCGCUCCCGGGCCCGGCUCUCCUGCCUCGAACUUCCCUCUCCGCUUAGUGCCAACCCCUGACCGUGUCUUUCCUCGCUACUCCUCAGCGCCCAGGGCAAAGGAUACUCCGUGUGCCCUAGUCACCGCCAGCUCCUCUCUCCUCCUGCCCCCGCUCCAGCCUCCUCAGGGUGCGGUGAGAAGUGAUAGCGCCAGCCGCAGGGCCACUCGCUCUGAUCCUGCUCUUCCCAUCCCUCCUUGUCACAGGCACUCUACAGCUCUCCCCUAGGUAUGGGGGACAGCUCCAGCCCCUCUCUGUCUUAUUUUCUUUUGCCAGGGUUUAUCAAAUCUCCCCACCCAAUAACACUUUGCAUCUAUAUUUUACAUUCACAUAUAAACUGUCCACUCACAGUAACUUGCUCCUUUCUGCGUGGCGGAAAGAUACUGGCUUCCUAAGUGGUGAAGACAUUUCAGUUCAGAAAUAAUUGGAUACAACAUCGAAAAGCUUUUCUUCGGUUUUUAUUUUAAAAAUACAUCAGAUUCUUCGUUUAGUUCUUGUUUGCCCCUUGAGUUGUUUUGUGAGUUCUGCUUAUUGUUCAAUAGCCCCAUAUGCAACAGUUGCUUCAGAUCUUAAUGGCUUAAAAUCUAUUCUUUUUUAUUUUAUGCACUCCGUUCAGAGGGAGUAAUGCACCAUAAUUAUUGGUAUCUGCAUCAUGCUUUCCAUAUGGUGAGGGAUACAUUUGGAAACCUCGAUGGAUAUCUUUGAUCUGAUAAUGCAUAAUCAAUCCCUUAGUUUUGUCAAUAGAGUGUUUACCUCUAUUUUGUACAUUGCUUUCUCACUGAGUCCAAGUGCUGCUUUGAUGUGAUAAACUGUUUUCUUUUUUUUUUGUAAGUGUGUAAAUCAGUAAUGAUAUUAGUGUUCCUUUGCAAUGAAGAGGGUUGCAUAGUUAGCACAUAGUUGUUUGUUUCAGAUAAAAAAGCUGGGAUUGUGUUUUUCAGCAAUGAGUUACUGCUUCCCAAAAUGCUGACCUUACCUAGAGACAAUGAAAAGUCAACUUUAAUCGUUGAUUUUUUUUUUCAAGUGUUGCCUUCAGAGCAUCACUUUAACAGUUUGCCAUGUCUUAAUUGCUAACUGACCUUGUGUCUGGGAAGUCCAAAAGACUGGAAAGUAUUAAAAUGCUUUCAUUGGAUUUCAAACACUGAUACUAAAUUAUAUCUAAAGAAUAAUGAACUACAGACAGGCAGCAAAUAUGCACAUUUUGCUUUGUAAAUCGUUAGAUUGCUGUACCAUUUCCUAUCUCCACAACUCCCUAGAGGUUGCACUUAUCUUUUCCUCACACAUCUGUGGCUUUAUAGAGAAGAAGAAUUACUCCCAUAUCACAUUACAUUCUUAAUUUUGGUCAUUAAUCUUUUAAGAUGCUCGUAAAAAGAAAUUUCUGCCUUGUCAAUAUAAAUUCUUUAAAAACUGGGACACAACUCUUUCCCCACCUUCUAAGCAUUAAUCUGCACCAAAAAAUCCUGUUGUCCAUUUUAGAAAAGAUUUUUUACUACUUUCAAUGCGGUAUUGCUGCAGGACAUAACAUCUACCCUGGAAUAUUAACUCUCUACUUCUUUUUGUACAUACAGAUAAAUACUGGAUGACUGCUAUACUAAUGCUUCAGAAAAUAAAACAAAAUCUAUUGUUUAGAUUGAAUGUCAUGCCAAACAGGACUGACUUUCAAGCUCAGACCACGGGGCUGCUGGGAAAUAUAGGGGAAAAAUAUGGCAGGGAGGCCUCUGUAAAGGAUAUGUGGAUUGUGCGAUUACAGGCCAUCGUAAUGCCCUAGGCGUGCCAUACAAUACUUAUUACUGUGGUAUUAGUAGAGCCCUGCAAAUCUGCGGAUAUCUGCUUGAUAUCUGUGGACCACAUUUGCAGAUAGGAUGAGGAUACAAAUUUUGUAUCUGCCCGCAGCUCUAGGUAUUAGUACUCACUUUUAACUUUAUUACAUUGUAACAGUACAUGUCAGGGAAAGAAUCUUGGGUACAGAGUUUUAAUAAUAGUGAUGUAUUCUCUGGAAUACCUGUGCUUUUUGAUUAGCUCCCUCUGGGCAAAGGAAUUUAGUAUAUAGGCUCUGAGGAGGUGAAGCCUAGGUGCCUGGGGUAGUUAUACCUAAAUUUUUCUUUCAAGGAGAAUAUUGUAGUGAAGUUUUGUGGUGUUUACUGUGUCAAGCUAGUUUGAUUUCACUUCAUUAUGUAAUCAUUUUAUUAUGGAAAGAACUUUAAUGGAAUAAAAGUAGAUUCUGUUGGUAAAAAAGUCACAAAGUAAGAUUCUCUUAUUCUUGACUAUUAACACCACUAAGUUUGUCUUCCAUUUUGGGCUGUGGCUAUGAGAGGCAUCUCAGUUUUAUUUAACAAAUAAUUGUCCAUUAGCUAUAUGGAGACCACGGGUCAGGGAAAUAACCCACUUGCUCCCUUGAUGAACCACCCUGCCCAUGUACCUAUUCACUACACCAAUACUGACUUGGAUUCUAAAUACAUUCUGUGGGUGGCAAACCCGAGAUCACUUAUUCACUGAUGCUUUAAAAACUCUCACACUGCAAUCUGGGUCUAUGCUGGUUGUGUACUAUGUAUGUAUCUUGUGAACCUUGUAACCGAUACUUGUAAUCUCUCAUAACUCAAGCCUGACCCCAGAUGUACAGUAUCUUUCUUCUUGUGUAAACUUGAUUUUAAACAUGAGCUUUUAUAACAAGUAUUGCUUCUUCCCUGUGGCCAUGUGGCUUUGGCUUGCUUCAAAAAUACAGAGCAACUAGAGGUGGUGGUGAGUCAGAAAUGUUCCUGAAAAAAGAAGGUGCCUUAGGUGUUCUAGAAAGUGUUCUACCAAGCCCUGUUGUGGAGAAGGAACUAUGUGGUUUGAAAACUGUUUGAUACGAGAUGCUGUCAGAGGGUAAAUGUUAAGCAAAGUUGUAAGAUGGGUAUGUUACGGAAUAAAAACAAAAAAAACCCAUAUAUGCCAGAGGAUGCAUGGAGACACAGAGGCUUGGACCCCUGGAGGGAUGCUCCACCCAAACUGCUCUUUAGGAACAUUGUGGUUUGAAUUUGAAGACUCAGCAGCUGGAGAGAGGGAGCAGAUUCAUCGGUUGGCUCCUGUGGCUGGAGAAAGGAAGCUUUUGUGACCAUAUCAAUCCCUAUUACAGUAUAAACUAGGAAGGUUACUGAAAGUUUAUUGAUCCGUUUGUGUUGUUUACUCAGGUUAAACAAAAGUUUAGUGUUUUGUCAAACUUAGAAGUUGGAGGCAUAGUCAAUUGGUAGGUAUUGAAGAGAUCUGCAGGACCCUUGACAUAAUUAAGAAAAACAGCAAAAAAGGAGCCCGAUAUUUACAGGCAAGGAGAUGAAGAUGAAGGGAUAAAAAGGCUCAGCUGAUAAUGUGGUGACAUUGAAAUUGAAUAAUGUGUGUUCAAAAGAAGGGGCAGGUUGUGCCACUUGUCCACACUCUGGAACUUCCAUUGCUAGUGUCAGAAUUUUUACAAAAAAUUCUAAGUUUAAUCAACACUCAUAAAGAAAUCACCUUGAAGUUGACCUUUGACAGAACAUCCAGUGGGUCACUAGCGGAAAGACUUAUGCCAUGUACUAUCAGUGCUCAGAUCCCAUGCUGAAUGUUUGGAGAGAAAGGUGGGUGGCUGAAGCUUCUUGCACAAAUGUAGUAUUUUUAUGGGGUAAAACUAAGACAAUGAUGGAGAAGCUUCAGUUUUAGCACACAAUUGACACAAAUUGAGGCAAUACACACCUCUCUAAAUUAAGCAGUCUCUCUGUAGAUUGAAGAAGUCAGUGCCAUAAGUAGUUUGUUAGAGGGUUUCCUUUGCUGCUAGUGGGCUGAAAACUAGAAUCCCAUGAAAUCCUUUUUAUUUUUGUAUAAUUUUUCAUUCUAUUUUUUAGGAAUUUCUUGUAUUUUCCAUCUUCUUUACCCAUCUAGGGUUGGGUCCUGCUCCAGUGGGGUAUGCAUGGAAGGCCUCAUUGGGGGUGGGGGUGUUGGGGGGGGGGUGCAGAAUGAGCCUGCCCCAAACUCUCACAGGAGCUUUCUCAUGGCGUUGGGUCCAGCUCCCCGCUCCGGGCAUUGCAACCUGGCUUUUGGGAUGAUAGCAAUGCCCAAGUUUGGCCCAGCUGCCUCUCCGUCAUGAUUACUGGGCUGCUGGGCCAAACCUGAGCGGGACACAAGGAACAGGAACUGCUGCAGCAGGGUGAGUUUUUUGUUUCAUGUUGCUUUAAUCAUUGGGUUUUGAUCUAUUUUGGGGCUCUUUUAAUAACUGUAAAACAGAAAGCUUAAACUGAGCAGUAACUGGUGUGGUGAUCAGGCAAGUGUAUUUGACAGCCCUAUUGAAUUAAUUGCUUUGUAAAGUGAAGUUCAAAAUUCUAACUCCGGUCAAACUUGACUGGACAAAGUUUAGCGUAAUGGUGAUGAAUAAAAUAAGUUUCUAAAACCGAGUCACUAGUUAAUCUACCAUUUUAAGAGAAGUUAUAGUACUGUGAACAAUUACCUGUAAUUAGGAAGUAGUUUAUAAAAUAAGCUUUGUGAACUAUCUUCCUGGCAAGUCUUUGAUCUUAGACUGGUUUCUUCAUAAUUACAUACACAGAAUUAUUGCUAGGCUGUGAAUCUGGAAAUGUAUCUUUCAGAGCUAGUAAAACUAAGGUAAAUAUAUCGUAUGCUCAGACUGAAUUUUAUUUAUAAGCACAUUCAACUACUAGUUUGUGCUGUGUUCUGGCUUUCUAUUAGUAUUUAAGCACAGUGGUUUUUAGAAUUAAAAUAAUUGUUUUGCAGAAUUGAGGGAAUAUCUUUUAGCCUUUCAGCAACAACCCCAAAUGAGCAUAGGAGAUUAUUAUACAUCAAUAAAUGUCUCAUGAGAGGUUGUAGAUAUCUUGGCCUGCAGCUGUGGUAAUUUGAAUAUUUUUCCCUUGUACAUACUGCAUAGCAAAAGAGUAAUUAUCUAAAAUUGAUUAAGCCAGUUCUAGCCACAAAUAAUUAUCAAUCAUAGAUCAAUGAAGAUCAGUGGGGAUUUCUUCAGUAAACAUGGCCUUUAGCUCUGCGAAAGGGGUGUGUGUGUGUCUGUUCGCGCAUACUCCAGAAAAGACUGUCUUAGGCUUUUAGAAUUAAAUGACUGCUUUCUUCUACAACUAAUACCUGUCAUCUGUGAUAUCGGGGGUGGGGGGAGGGAGGGUGAAGGGAAUGUUCUGUGAAUAGAACAUGUGUGAGAAUGAAAGGUGCUGAUACUGCUCAUGAGAUGUUUCCCACACUCUAAGAUAUACCCUUAAUAGUUAAAAUAAAAAUAACAUUAUUUGGAUAAAACUGAUAUUCUCUGGGUAAAGUGCUGCUUCUUCCCUGUCCCCCCACAAAAAGUCAUCAGUUCUACACUCUUCCUGCUACCUCUGUUCUAUCAGUCCUUGCAGCCUCUUUCCCACUGUCUUUCAAAUCAUCGUGCUUUCCCUUUCCCAGUACUUCACUGAGGGCUUGACUGCACUCGUACUUUGGAGUGCAUUAAAUCAGCCCCAGGUGCCCUAACUCCUGAGGUGUCCACACUGGCAAGGCACAUAGAGUGCCCGGACUCCACGGCUGGAGUGCCCCCGGUAAUCCACCUCCAUGAGAAGCAAUGAGCUCACUACUCCCUGGCUGGAGUGCCUCGGUGCUAGUGUAGAUGCCCUGGUCUAUUAAUGUGCUCUGAUCGGCCUCCAGGAAGUGUCCCACGAUGCCUGUUCUAGCCAUUCUGCUCAUCACUUUGAAGUAUACUGCUCUGCCCUCAGGUGAACAACCAUCAGACUUGCCCUUUAAAUUCUUUGGGAAUUUUAAAAGUCCCCUUCCUGUUUGCUCAGCUAGGCCUGGAGUGCUGUCAGCGCAUCUUUCCAGGUGACCAUGCCUCCACAUGCCAGGCGAUCCCCAGUAUGGAACAAUGGCGAGGUGCUGGACCUCAUCAGUGUUUGGGGGGAGGAAGGUGUCCAGUCCCAGCUGCGCUCCAGCCGUAGGGAAUUAUGAUACCUACCGGCAGAUAUCAAGGGUCAUGAGAGAAAGGGACCAUAACUGGGACGCACUGCAGUGCAGGGUUAAAGUGAAGGAGCUGCGCAAAGCCUGCUAGAAAGCGUGGGAGGCAAACCUGCUGGUUCUACAAAGAGCUGGACGAGAUACUUGGAGGCGACCAGACCUCCACUCUGAAGAGCACCAUGGACACUUAAGAGGCUGUGGCAGCCCAGAGUGCAACAAGGCACGAGGAGGAAAGCGGGAACGAGGGUGCUGAGGAGGAGGGGGCCCAGAGCCAGAGGACGGUCCAGCAUACCUAGACGCAUGCAGCCAGGAGCUGUUCUCAAGCCAGGCGGAAGGUAGCUGGUCGCAGCUGACAGUGUUUGUAGAAGAACAAACAGCAGAUGAGGUGCUUGAUGCAACCUUGAGAUCUCAACUGUCCUUGUUAUCAGUGGCUGAAAGGCUGCAAAGACUCAAGAAGCAGCCACGAAGAAUCAAGGAGAACCUUCUGCAUGAAGUCAUGCAGCAGUCCCUUACUGAAAAUAAAAAAGUCCAGGAGUGAUGGGAGACCGAAAGGAGGGUCCACCAGGAGAAUGUGGAUCAUCUGCAACAAACCAUGGAGUGGCUCCUAUGCAUUAUGGAGCGCCGAUCGGGCUCACUGCAAGCACACAUGGCACUGCAUACGGAGCAGAUCCAUGUCCCUCCUCCUUCCCUGCCGCAGCCCUUGUCUCAAAACUCUUGUUCCCCCAGAUCACUGCCAACCCACUUUUCCCAACAUCUGGUUUCUUAUUGCCACCAGCUGCCUCCAAAACCUUUAGCUUCACUGCCCAGCCCUGCAAACUACGACCCUUACCCACUGCAGUUGGCCCCCAUCACCAUGCAUUUUAGCCAGCCUGAAGUACAGAACUCAUUGCACGGCACUCCAGACAGGAAGGCAGAAUAUGAUAACAGGACAUACAGAAAUCUGUGAUUAUUCUGUUCCCCACCCCACCCCCUUCACUCCUCCCACACAGCACAGAUGUGUCAUGCCAUGUGUGUUUCUCCAGCAGUUGUUUCUUUUCAAUAAAUGAAUUUUUUGG
Molecule: long non-coding RNA, 7081 nt
Organism: Gopherus flavomarginatus (Mexican gopher tortoise)
Lineage: Eukaryota; Metazoa; Chordata; Testudines; Testudinidae
Exons: 2
Source: RefSeq, a predicted model, not a curated record